Molecule: long non-coding RNA, 329 nt
Filed under: Vigna radiata
Lineage: Eukaryota; Viridiplantae; Streptophyta; Magnoliopsida; Fabales; Fabaceae
Description: long non-coding RNA (VRAD_LNC010022)
Source: RNAcentral
AAAAAACACGCGGCAACAAAAUUGUAAUUUCUAUCAACUUUUUAACAAUGCUUGUCUAAUUAAAAGUAGAAAUGUGGAUAGUUAUCUAGAGAACUGUCGUGAAAAGUGGGACAGAUGAUAAGGAAUCAUCAUUAAAACUUUCAAAAGUAACGACAAAUAUAUAGAGAACCGUCAUCGAAUGUGCAAUAUCUUCAAUAGAAAAAGAUACGAUUCUUUCUCCCACAUGACUUUAAUUUGAGUGUUUCGUCUUUCCUCUACAUUUUCAUUUUCUACACCUCCCAUACUUUCAUUUUCUCUUCUCUUUGCCUUUUUGUUUUCUCUUCCCCUUG